UUCUUAUCGUUUUGCGGGGUGGGGGGGAAGGCUCGGGACCUGCAUGGCGUAAAGCAGCGUCCUUCUCGCUGGAGGGGGAACGGCUCAGGGCAGGUCGGUCUUAUUCCGGCAGGACAAGCUCGCCGGCGACACGUGGCAGGCGACACGAGGAUGGCCCGAGCCGGCGGCGCUCCGGCGAUGUCUCACGUGGGUCUCGCGGCGGCGACCGGCGGAGGAUAGGUUCCCGCCGGGUGGCGCUUCACGCCGCUGCCGGCUCCGGCAAUUAGGCGGCGAGAAAGAAGGGAGAAGAUUCGAGAAUGGAGUGUCGAGGAAGGAACGGGUUUGAAUUGGAGGCACGGGUCACUCUCUCUCUUCUCUCUUUCUCUCUCUCUCUCGGCAUCCUCUUCAUACGGCGGUCUUACCCAACUCGCCGGAGCAGAAUACGCAGUUUGAAAGAGGAUUGCCCGCAAGGCACUCCACCGUCGCCCUGAGCCGUCUCCUCCUGCGGCGGGCAUCGGGGGGUGGGACCCACGCGCUCUCCGCCGCCGCCAUUAGAGGGAAACCGGAGAUCUCCCCUUCUGGUAUUUUGCUUCUUGUUUCUCCCCAUGGCUACUUCCGAGUAGGUCGCAGAGCUACGCGUGCUCAUGCCGAACCUUCCAUUGAGAGGGAUGAGAGAGAAACAGGUUUGACGACUUGAAGGGUCUGCUUAAAUGGGUCCCUGUAAACUGUACGUGCGAGGCCGAAGCUUCUGGCUGAAGCUUGAAUCCGUUUCGUCAUCGUUUGUUUAAUGCAUUAGUGCUCAGACGGGAGAGAGCCCAUCGUGUGUACAGCCCUGUUGCCUUGCAUCUCAAGCAACUCCGGAAUCCUCCAGGUCCUCUUCCUCAUCCUCUUUCUCUCUCUCUCUCUCUCUCCUCUCCUCUCUCUCUCUGUCUCUGUCUCUCUCUCUCUCUCUCUCUCUCUCUCUCUCUCUCCCUCUCGCUGUCAAAACUCCUCGUGACAAAAGAACCAUCAAUUCGUCACACCAUCUGAAACUCAUGUGAGUUGUUACAUCCUUUCUCCUUGAUUUCCUCCCUCCUACAUUCCGUAUGGGUGAUUUCCAGGUCUUACGAUCAUAAUCGAGGGCCGAAUCUUCGAAGCCCCAAUGGGAGGUUAUGAAUUCGUCUGGCCUUGGUUUCCGAGAAAUCUGACGUUCGGCUGAACCUGUUUCGUCAUCUUCAGGCGCGACGCCGAUGGAUCGUCUGAAGCUCUUCGCGCAGAGAGGCUAAUGACCUUCGUCCUGAAGGAAUAGGAGGGUCGUCCAGUUCAGGGGCUUUCCGAGGAAGAUCUCUCCGUAACAACCAGUGGAGUCCGUUUCUCUGCUUUUGCUUUGGCGGUCAAAAACGUAAAAACAAAUCCAAAGGUGGGAG
This 1385-nucleotide long non-coding RNA is filed under the name Spirodela polyrhiza (greater duckweed). RNAcentral describes it as "long non-coding RNA (SPOL_LNC000775)". The record is from RNAcentral. Lineage: Eukaryota; Viridiplantae; Streptophyta; Magnoliopsida; Alismatales; Araceae.